RNAcentral lists this long non-coding RNA (1571 nucleotides) under Mytilus galloprovincialis (Mediterranean mussel). The record is from RNAcentral. Lineage: Eukaryota; Metazoa; Mollusca; Bivalvia; Mytilida; Mytilidae.
GUUCUGUAGGAUCAAAUACAGGGGUCGAAUUUAAGCUUUUUUGUAUACUGGCCAGCCAGACCAGUGGACUAAAAAUCUACUGGUCCGGCUUAAAAUUUACUGGUUCUGCAAAAAUGACAUUCAUUUGAUAACCACUAAAAGAUAUGACGGAUGUUUAGUUUUAUUUUUUUUUCUCAGCUGCUUUCCUCUUCUUUAUUUCAGUAGAUUUUUGUGCUGUUCUGUUUGUUCAUGAGCAAGUACAAAAUCUUUUUAAAAUUUUAAGAUCCCGUUACAAAAAUACAUUUCUCAUCUAGGUUUGUCACUGCAAAUUGUUCACAUGUUUUACAAUGCAUUACAUUACAAUCGACUUUACAAUUUAACCAUUCGAGAUCUUUUUCCCAGGAUAUUUUAUAUUUACAUUUUUUUUUUUGUCAGUUUGAAAAAUCUUCCUUUUGAAUGUCGCUUAAUUAAUUAAUUUGUUUUGCCCUGCGUUUUAACGCCAUUAAAAAAUUUCCACAUUUUGUGUUGUUGUGUAGUGCGCUCAUUUGAGAUAUUAAUUAAAUACUUUUAAAAUAGUACCGCCAGUACCCUAAAAAUAAUUUCUAAUGUUUAUGUUUUUGUAAACAAACCAAGAUAGAGAUGCAAUCAGUGAUUAACGAAAAAUUUCUACUGGUCCGCCGGACCACCAGCUGACAAAAUCUACUGGUCCCACACAAAUUCUACUGGUCUCGGACCACCGGACCAGCGCCAAUUUCGACCCCUGAUCAAAUAUAAUAUAGGAGGGUAAGGAAAAGUUUUAAAGAAUAGAGAAUAAUGCAUGUAAUGUUCACAAUACAUUUAUAAAUAAAGAAAAUAGACAUACAUGUAACAAUGAAGAAAAACGGGUUGUUAAAUUAUAAGAAGUACAGAAAAAUUGAAAAAAAAUAAAAAAAAAUAAAUAGAGAUAAAUGGUAUACAGAAUUAGAUAGGAAUUAAAUGAAGGACCCUCAAUCCAGACCAUCGGUAAGAAAGGUAGUUUUGUGAAAUGAUUCAUUUUUAAAAAUAAUUCAUACAGUCUAGAUCCGGCUAACUUGUUUAACCCCGCCACAUUAUUUAUGUAUGUGUCUGUCCCAAGUCAGGAGCCUGUAAUUCAGUGGUUGUCAUUUGUUUAUGUGUUACAUAUUUGUUUUUCAUUAUUUUUUUUAUACAAAUAAGGCCGUUUGUUUUCUUGUUUGAAUUGUUGUACAUCAUGUACAUUGUCAUAUCUGGGCCUUUCAUUGCUGACUAUAUAUGCGGUAUGGGCUUUGCUCAUUGUUGAAGGACGUACGGUGACCUAUAGCUGUUUAUGUCUGUGCCAUUUUGGUCUCUUUUGGAUACAUUGAAGUUGUCUAAUUGGCAAUCAUACCACAUCUUUUUUAUAUAGAUGGGUUUUGUUCUAACAUGUCUAAAUUUUAAGUGUGCAUGCUUAACCAAAAAUGUUAUAACUGGAAUUCGGACAAAAUCAACUGCAUUCACAUUCGAAUACUCCAGGUUUACAACAAGAAAAUUAUGUUUGCAUAUACAUGUAAUUAUAUAAACCCCCUACUUUCAUGAAUCAUGACCUUUUCUCCCAG